This 527-nucleotide ribosomal RNA is filed under the name uncultured eukaryote. RNAcentral describes it as "SSU rRNA". It matches the Rfam family "Eukaryotic small subunit ribosomal RNA", at positions 22 to 548 of the family's 1831-position model. The record is from RNAcentral.
AGUCAUAUGCUUGUCUCAAAGAUUAAGCCAUGCAUGUCUAAGUAUAAGCGACUUGUACUGUGAAACUGCGAAUGGCUCAUUAAAUCAGUUAUGGUUUCUUUGAUGGUACCUUGCUACUUGGAUACCCGUAGUAAUUCUAGAGCUAAUACAUGCAGGAAUGCCCGACUUCGGAAGGGCUGUAUUUAUUAGAUAAGAAACCUUCUCGGGUUCGCCCGGUUGUGUGCUGAGUCAUAAUAACUGCUCGAAUCGCACGGCUCUACGCCGGCGAUGGUUCAUUCAAAUUUCUGCCCUAUCAGCUUUCGAUGGUAGGAUAGAGGCCUACCAUGGCGUUAACGGGUAACGGAGAAUUAGGGUUCGAUUCCGGAAAGGGGGCCUGAGAGAUGGCCACCACAUCCAAGGAAGGCAGCAGGCGCGUAAAUUGCCCGAAUCCUGACACAGGGAGGUAGUGACAAGAAAUAACAAUACAGGGCUACUUCUAGUCUUGUAAUUGGAAUGAGUACAACUUACAUCUCUUCACGAGGAUCAAU